AAAGGCGUCUGUGUAUUUAUAAAAUUAUGAAAUCGUGAAAUUAUACAUUUUCCCACGUUUUUUUCCCACUUUAGUGCUUUUAUUUUAAAAAUGGUGUCGAAAAUAUGAAAAGGCCCUCUUUAAAGUACCAUCUUGACAACUUGAGCUCUCAGGAUGUUGCUACACGUAAAAACUGGAGCAAGUUUACUAGGAAAAAACGUGUUCACAGAC
Cinara cedri is the source of this 210-nucleotide non-coding RNA. Lineage: Eukaryota; Metazoa; Arthropoda; Insecta; Hemiptera; Aphididae. The record is from the annotation of a GenBank genome assembly.